UAGGGAAUCUUCGGCAAUGGACGAAAGUCUGACCGAGCAACGCCGCGUGAGUGAAGAAGGUCUUCGGAUCGUAAAACUCUGUUGUUAGAGAAGAACAAGGACGUUAGUAACUGAACGUCCCCUGACGGUAUCUAACCAGAAAGCCACGGCUAACUACGUGCCAGCAGCCGCGGUAAUACGUAGGUGGCAAGCGUUGUCCGGAUUUAUUGGGCGUAAAGCGAGCGCAGGCGGUUUAUUAAGUCUGAUGUGAAAGCCCCCGGCUCAACCGGGGAAGGGCAGUGGAAACUGGGAAGCUUGAGUGCAGGAGAGGAGAGUGGAAUUCCAUGUGUAGCGGUGAAAUGCGUAGAUAUAUGGAGGAACACCAGUGGCGAAGGCGGCUCUCUGGUCUGUAACUGACGCUGAGGCUCGAAAGCGUGGGGAGCAAACAGG
RNAcentral lists this ribosomal RNA (429 nucleotides) under Gemmatimonadota bacterium. RNAcentral describes it as "Gemmatimonadetes bacterium partial 16S ribosomal RNA". It matches the Rfam family "Bacterial small subunit ribosomal RNA", at positions 355 to 776 of the family's 1533-position model. The record is from RNAcentral. Lineage: Bacteria; Pseudomonadati; Gemmatimonadota.